UCGCGGACGCGAGCGCCGAAAGGCGGCGUCCGAGGAAAGUCCGAGCUCCAUAGAGCAGGUUCGCGGGUAACGCCCGUCCGCCGCGAGGCGAGGACCAGCGCCACAGUGACGAUGCCCGCUCAUAGAGGCGGGAGUGAAACGCGGCAAGCUCGAGCCGGAGCAAGACCGAAUAGGAGGGCGCAAGGCGACGUUCGCGUCGCAGCAGGCUGCUCGCUCAGCCCUCGGGUAGGUCGCACAGAUGGAUGACCGUCGCGGGUCCCUCGGGCCCAGACAGAACUCGGCUUACAGGCCGCUCUCCAGG
Molecule: RNase P RNA, 301 nt
Filed under: Chloroflexota bacterium
Lineage: Bacteria; Bacillati; Chloroflexota
Description: partial RNase P RNA component class A
Rfam family: Bacterial RNase P class A
About the family: Ribonuclease P (RNase P) is a ubiquitous endoribonuclease, found in archaea, bacteria and eukarya as well as chloroplasts and mitochondria.
Source: RNAcentral